Molecule: ribosomal RNA, 438 nt
Filed under: uncultured Gammaproteobacteria bacterium
Lineage: Bacteria; Pseudomonadati; Pseudomonadota; Gammaproteobacteria
Description: bacterial SSU rRNA
Rfam family: Bacterial small subunit ribosomal RNA
Source: RNAcentral
CCUACGGGAGGCAGCAGUGGGGAAUAUUGGACAAUGGGCGAAAGCCUAAUCCAGCAAUGCCGCGUGUGUGAAGAAGGCCUGCGGGUUGUAAAGCACUUUCAGUUGGGAAGAUGAUGACGUUACCAACAGAAGAAGCACCGGCUAAAUCCGUGCCAGCAGCCGCGGUAAUACGGAUGGUGCGAGCGUUAAUCGGAAUUACUGGGCGUAAAGCGCGCGUAGGCGGCUAAAUCAGUCAGAAGUGAAAGCCCCGGGCUCAACCUGGGAAUUGCUUUUGAUACUGCUUGGCUAGAGUUUGGUAGAGGAUAGUGGAAUUCCAGGUGUAGCGGUGAAAUGCGUAGAUAUCUGGAGGAACAUCAGUGGCGAAGGCGACUGUCUGGACCAAAACUGACGCUGAGGUGCGAAAGCGUGGGUAGCAAACAGGAUUAGAUACCCUGGUAG